This 277-nucleotide long non-coding RNA is filed under the name Brassica napus (rape). RNAcentral's name for it is "long non-coding RNA (BNAP_LNC003397)". Lineage: Eukaryota; Viridiplantae; Streptophyta; Magnoliopsida; Brassicales; Brassicaceae. The record is from RNAcentral.
GAAAGUGGCAACUCCUCCUCAAGUUCAAUGAAUGUUGUGAAGCAACCACAAAGGAUAAUAAUAUUGUGAAACCCAUUUACUUUUUUUUAAUCCAUAAUAAAAAUUUGAAUGAAUGAAAGUACUAACCUUGUCGAUGAGAAGAACUUUUAGUUUAGUAGAAUUCUGAAGCAAAAGAAUUAGUGGUUCUAACAAGUCCAACUCGUCUACAAGUAUUAUCUUACACUCCAUAAGCUGAGAGAAGCCAAUAGUGCUAAACCACACAAGCUUCAAUGAACAC